This 558-nucleotide long non-coding RNA is filed under the name Equus asinus (donkey). Its description in RNAcentral is "lncRNA (ENSEASG00005033648.1)". Lineage: Eukaryota; Metazoa; Chordata; Mammalia; Perissodactyla; Equidae. The record is from RNAcentral.
ACUUCCGUCUGCGUGGGGCCCACAUCCUGGAGCGCCCAGGCUUCCGAGGGGCAGACGGUGGGACCUGGUCCGGGCUGAGGUCCUGGCGGGUGAGCAGGAUCUUCGCCGUGCGGCGCAGAGGGUGACAGUGGAGAAGGUGACCAGAAGCCAGAAGGAGCCUAUGUGAAAGAUUAGCCCUGAGCUACCAUAUGCUGCCAAUCCUCCUGUUUUUGCGAGGAAGACUGGCCCUGAGCUAACAUCCAUGCCCAUCUUCCUCUACUUUAUAUGUGGGAUGCCUGCCUCAGCAUCGCUUGCCAAGAAGUGCCAUGUCCGCACCCAGGAUCCGAACCAGAGAACCCUGGGCCGCCGAAGUGGAACAUGUGCACUUAACUGCUGCACCACCAGGCUAGCCCCUCUGUGACUGUGUAUAGCACGCAAUGAAUACUUACAGCAUCCACAUGUCUGCUUCCACCAGGACCCAGGACUUCUCCAUGAAGACUUUCUAGACUUGUCUAUUCAAAGAUAAUCAUUCCCAACGGCAAACAAUUCUCAUCCUUCUUUAACACUUGGAACGUUGCC